This 76-nucleotide transfer RNA is filed under the name Sulfurospirillum sp. Its description in RNAcentral is "tRNA-Met". It matches the Rfam family "tRNA". Rfam says of the family: Transfer RNA (tRNA) molecules are approximately 80 nucleotides in length. Their secondary structure includes four short double-helical elements and three loops (D, anti-codon, and T loops). The record is from RNAcentral. Lineage: Bacteria; Pseudomonadati; Campylobacterota; Epsilonproteobacteria; Campylobacterales; Sulfurospirillaceae. RNAcentral also lists the same sequence under 2 other names.
CGCGGGAUAGAGCAGUUGGUAGCUCGUCGGGCUCAUAACCCGAAGGUCGUCAGUUCAAGUCUGACUCCCGCAACCA